This 183-nucleotide ribosomal RNA is filed under the name uncultured bacterium. RNAcentral describes it as "partial 16S ribosomal RNA". It matches the Rfam family "Bacterial small subunit ribosomal RNA", at positions 1318 to 1500 of the family's 1533-position model. The record is from RNAcentral.
GCAUGAAGUUGGAAUUGCUAGUAAUCGCGAAUCAGAAUGUCGCGGUGAAUACGUUCCCGGGCCUUGUACACACCGCCCGUCACACCAUGAGAGUCGAUAACACCCGAAGCCUGUGAGCUAACCGCAAGGGGGCAGCAGUCGAAGGUGGGGUUGAUGAUUGGGGUGAAGUCGUAACAAGGUACC